GGUGAAUGCAUGGGGUGGCCAGCUCAUGUUUUCCUGUCCAUGUUGUGCAUGACUGACAACCCACCUUUACUGUAUGGAACAACCACAGCUGGAGGUGAAAGUAAGGCUGUACGGAGAAGAUGUGGCGUCCCAACAAACUCGAUGGAGGAGUACAAAGAAUCUGAAAAGGAACAAAUGGGAGACUUCAAAGUUCAACACUAAUCCAGGACCAAACCCCAUAACCGGACACCAAAGACAACCCAUGACCUCAUCCAUCAUAGGUCAUGACAAUCCCAUCCACAAAAAGCUAUGAUGUAAGCUUAAUAGGCAACUGUUGAAAAUUAUGGAGCAAUCUUGAAGAAGCUGAGGUUUCAGAUGGAACCCUCUAGCACAAAUUCCAGUCCAAAACAGUACACCAACACAGCUCCCAAUGUUGGCAUUAGCUACACCUGAUCAAGCUCAGGCAACACCUGAACCACCAGCAGUGGGCCGCCAUUCCAGGGCUGUAGCUGCAGCCGCCCCCUACCAAUCACCUCUGCCACCUCACCCCCAGACUCAUCCUAUCUAACCUCACCCUAUACAGCUCCAGCCUGUAGCGCCCCCCCCAACAAGCCUCAAAUAAAAAAAAUCUGAUUUUACAUGUCCAUUUAAAACACUGUAAAUCCACUCCACAGCGGCCUAUUAACUUGAAACUUGUCAUCACUAUCAUAGACAUCCCUAAGAUGAACCACACUGACUUUGGCAAUGAUAUCUAAAAAAACAACACUAAUGCUAACACUAAUGCUCAGAAUCAUAUUUUCCUUGUGAAUCACAUGUCAGAUUCACUCCAGAUGUAGUAUUUAGAAUCAUGAUUACCCAUAAAGGAAGAUAGUUCCUACUUGCUUUGUGAACCCCGUUCAUUGCUGCUCGCAGCUAUAUUUUAAUAAUGAAUCUCUUAUUUCGGUCCUGACAAUUCAUCCAUUAAUACUGUUUCAGUUUUUAUCUUAACUUCAUAUGAUAACCAUCUUAUCACGAUUGUAUUGCGUUACCAAAGAUCACGAGCGUGUGCUGCACGUGUUUGCAUGUCUGAGUGUGUUUGUAGGGCAUGGUAGAGUCAUUACUGGAGUAAAGUUCUGCUGGAGAAGGAGCUGCUUCUGCUGCUCAGACAGGAGAGAAGACCUGAAAUACAACCAUGUUAAAUAUUACUCAUCAUGGGACACUUCCAGUCCAAACAACACUUACCCAGCCAACCCAUUAGUCACAGCAAAAAUAAAUUACAGUAACAGUCUAGACCAGAAUCAGUCAGCACAGCCAGUAACAACAAGAAAUCAACUGUCUGUCACUAUCAGACUAUAUAAAAAUGUAUCACUGUCACAAAAGUAGUGGCCGUGGCUAUCACAACAACAACUGAUCAACAGCAAUCAACCAACAACAUCCUCACAAAACAAUCAACCAACACUAUCACCAAUCAUUAUACUUUUCUGGUGAUCAGACAUGGAGGAGGUACUCACGGACUCAUGCUCUUGGGGAGCUGCAGGCCCUGUGCCAGUGCUUGUAGGCCCAAAGGAGGAGGCUGGGGCCGCAGGGCCGGUAGGGUGGGCUGGGG
This is a long non-coding RNA of Oncorhynchus tshawytscha (Chinook salmon), 1564 nucleotides long. RefSeq lists it as uncharacterized. NCBI's taxonomy places the organism in Eukaryota, Metazoa, Chordata, Actinopteri, Salmoniformes, Salmonidae. The transcript has 3 exons. The record is from RefSeq and is a predicted model, not a curated record.